GGGGUGGUAGCUCAGUUGGCAGAGCGGUGCGUUCGCAACGCACAGGUCGGGAGUUCAAGUCUCCUCCACUCCACCA
RNAcentral lists this transfer RNA (76 nucleotides) under Acidobacteriota bacterium. RNAcentral's name for it is "Acidobacteria bacterium (groundwater metagenome) tRNA-Ala". It matches the Rfam family "tRNA". From Rfam's summary of the family: Transfer RNA (tRNA) molecules are approximately 80 nucleotides in length. The record is from RNAcentral. Lineage: Bacteria; Pseudomonadati; Acidobacteriota.